Molecule: ribosomal RNA, 325 nt
Filed under: Colletotrichum siamense
Lineage: Eukaryota; Fungi; Ascomycota; Sordariomycetes; Glomerellales; Glomerellaceae
Description: partial large subunit ribosomal RNA
Rfam family: Eukaryotic large subunit ribosomal RNA
Source: RNAcentral
UAUAUUUCUUCUAAAGCUAAAUACCGGCCAGAGACCGAUAGCGCACAAGUAGAGUGAUCGAAAGAUGAAAAGCACUUUGAAAAGAGGGUUAAACAGCACGUGAAAUUGUUAAAAGGGAAGCGCUUGUGACCAGACUUGCGUCCGGUGAAUCACCCAGCUCUCGCGGCUGGGGCACUUCGCCGGCUCAGGCCAGCAUCAGCUCGCUGUCGGGGACAAAAGCUUCAGGAACGUAGCUCUCUUCGGGGAGUGUUAUAGCCUGUUGCAUAAUACCCUUCGGCGGGCUGAGGUACGCGCUCCGCAAGGAUGCUGGCAUAAUGGUCAUCAG